GCCUGAUACAGUGGCUUGUGUCUGUAUUCCCAGCUACUUGGGAGGCUGAGACAGGAGGAUCACUUGAGCCCAGGAGGCCGAGGCUGCAGUGAGCUGUGUUCACACUACUGUGUUCCAGCCUGGGCAACAGAGUGAGACCCUGUCUCUA
Unclassified non-coding RNA from Callithrix jacchus (white-tufted-ear marmoset), 148 nucleotides. It matches the Rfam family "Metazoan signal recognition particle RNA". Rfam says of the family: The signal recognition particle (SRP) is a universally conserved ribonucleoprotein. It is involved in the co-translational targeting of proteins to membranes. The record is from Ensembl. NCBI's taxonomy places the organism in Eukaryota, Metazoa, Chordata, Mammalia, Primates, Cebidae.